UCUCCGUAGGUGAACCUGCGGAGGGAUCAUUACCGAGCUCAUGCCCUUACGGGUCGCUCUCCCACCCUGUGUUAUUAUUACCUUUGUUGCUUUGGCGGGCCGCCAUGCUCCGAUCCCGCUAUCGGCUUCGCCUGGUAAGCGCCCGGCAGCGGACCCUAUAUCCUUAUUAGUAGUGUCGUCUUGGUACUAUUUAAUAUUUAAAACUUUCAACAACGGAUCUCUUGGUUCUG
RNAcentral lists this unclassified non-coding RNA (230 nucleotides) under plant metagenome. RNAcentral describes it as "partial contains small subunit ribosomal RNA, internal transcribed spacer 1, and 5.8S ribosomal RNA". The record is from RNAcentral.